UGGCACGCCAAGUGUUCGCUUUGGUUGCUAACUUGCAUUGUGCCCUCUCAAAUUCGCGGAGCACACUGCAGAACAGCAAGCAAGAAUGCCAUCAAACGCCUACCAUUGCCGGAUCCUACUCAUUCUCGUCUUCAGUUUAUUGGUUAUUAGCAGCAGCCUUGCCGGAGCUUUACGGCCACCAAAUUGCCAGCAAGCGGAUUCGAACAGCCCCUGUCCAGGAUUCUGCGAUCCGAAUUUGACUGUAUGUCAUCAUUAGUACGUGAGAGGAGAGCUCAUUCUGAUUCUUCACAAUUCACACAGAAUUUGAGCAGAUUCUCUGGUUACCUUUGAUCUCCCAAUGCUGGAACACUUGAACGAUGAUGCAUUUACAUGUCUGUACCCUUGAGUAACUUAAGUAGGCUAUAUUCCCUUGUAAUAGGGAUUGGUAUAUCACAGAGUUUUGGUCAAAUUUCAUACUUUAUGUAAAUGUGUCGCGUAUAGGAGUUCUAUCCACAAAGAUAAUAAGAGGAUUCCAAAA
Long non-coding RNA from Panicum virgatum (switchgrass), 517 nucleotides. RefSeq lists it as uncharacterized. The transcript has 2 exons. Lineage: Eukaryota; Viridiplantae; Streptophyta; Magnoliopsida; Poales; Poaceae. The record is from RefSeq and is a predicted model, not a curated record.